RNAcentral lists this long non-coding RNA (1232 nucleotides) under Bos indicus x Bos taurus (hybrid cattle). RNAcentral describes it as "lncRNA (ENSBIXG00005023111.1)". The record is from RNAcentral. Lineage: Eukaryota; Metazoa; Chordata; Mammalia; Artiodactyla; Bovidae.
CUUUUUUAGGCGGGGGCCUUCCGUUUAAUAAUUCAGUAAUUAGAUGCACUGCUGUCAGCUGUGAAAUCCCUAACAGCUUUGCAAUGACAACAUAUUGAAGGCUUUGUGGUCCUCCAAGGUCUCUCUCGAUGUCUUUAACAGGAAGGACAGAGAUCACAUUAGCUGGGAAAACCUAGGUAUGGCCUGAGAGAGUGGAAAAGAGUAAAAGUAAAAUGCCUUAUCAUCCAUGCACUAUGUCUCUGGCUGAGACUUUCGCCAAGGGGUCAUUCAGUGAACAUCACCUUGCUGGCGAUGCACAGAGCUGUCUCAACAUGUCAUCGUGUAAAGUCUGUCUGCACAAAGAUGUUUAAAAACAUGAUGUUAAAGACAAAUUUUUCAACUAGAACCCUCAAGAAAUGUCACUUCUGUGUCUUGCAAAGAGAGCCAGCAUUUUCUCUACGUAAACAUCUGCUGGGAACAUUUUAAGGGGGAAGUAUUUUAAAUAAUGACAUUUGUAGCUUCUUGUCUUUAAUAAGUUUGAAAAAAAAGGGAAAUGAGUUUGUGAUACAUUUCAUUGACAUGGAUCAAAUUGGCUGAUCAGAAAGUGAAAACUUUAACAUUAUGUUAGGUGGAAAUGGUUAAAAUUGUCUGUAUCAAUCAUACCUGAGAAGCACUCAUAAAUCAUGGGUUUCUUUAACUCCAAAAAACGCCAACGGUUCAUUGUAAUGCUCACUUGCUUGUGGCAAUUAUACUAUGUUUAUAUGUAAACAAUUGGAUUUUCUAUUAAAUUAAGAGAAAAAAAAAACCAACAAAAGCAAGAGUCAGGGAACCAUAAGUUAGCUAUACAAUAUGAACAAAGCAAAUUCAUUUGUGAUUAGAAUGGAAACUUCAUUUUAUCUUAACCAAUGUAGAUGUUUGGGGAUAAUUCUCUGUAGAAAAUGCAAGAUAUAUAGCUAGGCUUUUUAAAGUUCUAAGAAAGAGACACAUGCAGAUUGCCUUUGGUAAUAGGUAUUUAUGGCCAGGAUACCCUAGGAUGUAAUUUCAGAAGUAAUGCUGUCUUGUACUCUGGAUUUCACUACUUAAAAGAACUGGGGGUACUGCAGGCAUUAUGAAGUAUGACAAUGACUCAGUAUAAAGGUAGUUUAGUAGCUUUCAGAUUAGAAACUAAGUUCAAAUGAUUUAUCUUUAUUCACUUUCCCAACCUCAUUACUUCUUCAAAUAAAUAAUCUGAUUGACGGCUUUGUAACUAUCCC